GGAGAGGGCUAGCGUUAUUCGGAAUUAUUGGGCGUAAAGGGCGCGUAGGCGGAUUAGUAAGUUAAAAGUGAAAUCCCAAGGCUCAACCUUGGAAUUGCUUUUAAAACUGCUAAUCUAGAGAUUGAAAGAGGAUAGAGGAAUUCCUAGUGUAGAGGUGAAGUUCGUAAAUAUUAGGAGGAACACCAGUGGCGAAGGCGUCUAUCUGGUUCAAAUCUGACGCUGAGGCGCGAAGGCGUGGGGAGCAAACAGGAUUAGAUACCCUGGUAGUCCACGCUGUAAACGAUGAAUGUUAAAUAUGGGGAGUUUACUUUCUGUAUUACAGCUAACGCGUUAAACAUUCCGCCUGGGGACUACGGUCGCAAGAUUAAAACUCAAAGGAAUUGACGGGGACCCGCACAAGCGGUGGAGCAUGUGGUUUAAUUCGAUGCAACGCGAAAAACCUUACCACUCCUUGACAUGGAAAUUAUACCUAUUCGAAGGGAUAGGGUCGGUUCGGCCGGGUUUCACACAGGUGU
RNAcentral lists this ribosomal RNA (515 nucleotides) under bacterium symbiont of Megymenum gracilicorne. RNAcentral describes it as "bacterial SSU rRNA". It matches the Rfam family "Bacterial small subunit ribosomal RNA", at positions 527 to 1041 of the family's 1533-position model. The record is from RNAcentral.